CCUACGGGUGGCAGCAGUGGGGGAUAUUGGUCAAUGGGGGAAACCCUGAACCAGCAACGCCGCGUGAGGGAAGACGGCCCUACGGGUUGUAAACUUCUUUUAUAAAGGAAUAAAGUGAGGCACGUGUGCCUUUUUGUCUGUACUUUAUGAAUAAGGAUCGGCUAACUCCGUGCCAGCAGCCGCGGUAAUACGGAGGAUCCGAGCGUUAUCCGGAUUUAUUGGGUUUAAAGGGAGCGUAGAUGGGUUGUUAAGUCAGUUGUGAAAGUUUGCGGCUCAACCGUAAAAUUGCAAUUGAUACUGGCAGUCUUGAGUACAGUUGAGGUAGGCGGAAUGCGUGGUGUAGCGGUGAAAUGCUUAGAUAUCACGAAGAACUCCGAUUGCGAAGGCAGCUUACUAAACUGACACUGACAUUGAUGCUCGAAAGUGUGGGUAUCAAACAGGAUUAGAUACCCCGGUAGUC
This 460-nucleotide ribosomal RNA is filed under the name uncultured bacterium. RNAcentral describes it as "partial 16S ribosomal RNA". It matches the Rfam family "Bacterial small subunit ribosomal RNA", at positions 338 to 795 of the family's 1533-position model. The record is from RNAcentral.